This 176-nucleotide unclassified non-coding RNA is filed under the name uncultured Clavulinopsis. RNAcentral's name for it is "sequence contains ITS1". Lineage: Eukaryota; Fungi; Basidiomycota; Agaricomycetes; Agaricales; Clavariaceae. The record is from RNAcentral.
UUGAAUCCUCAGGAUGUCGCUGGCUCUCUCGCAAGGGAGAGCAUGUGCACUCCGCCUUCAAUCCACCUGUGCACUUAUUGUAGGUCAAAGGGGGAAACCCCAUUGCCUAUGCUUUUUACACACACUUUAAAGUAUCAGAAUGUAACACAGUAGACCUUCAGGUCGAAAUAACAAUA